Molecule: long non-coding RNA, 101 nt
Organism: Sapajus apella (tufted capuchin)
Lineage: Eukaryota; Metazoa; Chordata; Mammalia; Primates; Cebidae
Exons: 2
Source: RefSeq, a predicted model, not a curated record
CUGAGGCAGAAGAAUCUCUUGAACCUGGGAGGUGGAGGUUGCAGUGAGCCGAGAUCACGCCACUGCACUCUAGCCCGGGAGACAGAGUAAGAUUGUCUCAA